This 25-nucleotide non-coding RNA is filed under the name Rattus norvegicus (Norway rat). Lineage: Eukaryota; Metazoa; Chordata; Mammalia; Rodentia; Muridae. The record is from RNAcentral.
UUAUGCCAAACAAGUUCUCCUCCUG